Molecule: ribosomal RNA, 462 nt
Filed under: uncultured bacterium
Lineage: Bacteria
Description: bacterial SSU rRNA
Rfam family: Bacterial small subunit ribosomal RNA
Source: RNAcentral
GACGAACGCUGGCGGCGUGCCUAACACAUGCAAGUCGAACGAAGAAUGUUUUUCGGAAUAUUCUUAGUGGCGGACGGGUGAGUAACGCGUGAACAAUCUGCCCCGUACAAAGGGAUAGCCUCGGGAAACCGGGAUUAAAACCAUAUAACGCUUUAGUACCGCAUGGUAAUAAAGUCAAAUCGAUUAAGAGGUAUGGGAUGAGUUCGCGUCUGAUUAGCUAGUUGGUGAGGUAAGGGCUCACCAAGGCGACGAUCAGUAGCCGGCCUGAGAGGGUGAACGGCCACACUGGAACUGAGACACGGUCCAGACUCCUACGGGAGGCAGCAGUGGGGAAUAUUGCACAAUGGAGGGAACUCUGAUGCAGCGACGCCGCGUGAGUGAAGAAGGUCUUCGGAUCGUAAAACUCUGUCCUUGGUGAAGAAAAGGACGGUACCUUAGGAGGAAGCCCCGGCUAACUACGUG